GAUGAACGCUGGCGGCGUGCCUAAUACAUGCAAGUCGAGCGAACGGACGAGAAGCUUGCUUCUCUGAUGUUAGCGGCGGACGGGUGAGUAACACGUGGAUAACCUACCUAUAAGACUGGGAUAACUUCGUGAAACCGGAGCUAAUACCGGAUAAUAUUUUGAACCGCAUGGUUCAAAAGUGAAAGACGGUCUUGCUGUCACUUAUAGAUGGAUCCGCGCUGCAUUAGCUAGUUGGUAAGGUAACGGCUUACCAAGGCAACGAUGCAUAGCCGACCUGAGAGGGGGAUCGGCCACACUGGAACUGAGACACGGUCCAGACUCCUACGGGAGGCAGCAGUAGGGAAUCUUCCGCAAUGGGCGAAAGCCUGACGUAGCAACGCCGCGUGAGUGAUGAAGGUCUUCGGAUCGUAAAACUCUGUUAUUAGGGAAGAACAUAUGUGUAAGUAACUGUGCACAUCUUGACGGUACCUAAUCAGAAAGCCACGGCUAACUACGUG
This 497-nucleotide ribosomal RNA is filed under the name uncultured bacterium. RNAcentral's name for it is "partial 16S ribosomal RNA". It matches the Rfam family "Bacterial small subunit ribosomal RNA", at positions 28 to 507 of the family's 1533-position model. The record is from RNAcentral.